CCGGCGGCCUUACCGCCUCCACGGCGUGCUGCAGGAUGGAGGUGAACUUGGAGAACAUCCUGUCCCGCGACUGCAGCAGCCGCUGCCGGGAGGACCUCGAGAGCUCCUCGAUCCGCCGCCGCCGCCGCUCCAGGAGAAAAGGAGACAGAAGAGAGCUUUAUUUCACCUCUGAAUCAAAUACUUCAGAGAAAAAGACCAUCCCUCCCAUUUUGCGGUGCUACAGGAAAAGCAGAGGCAUGGAGAGCUACACCCCAAAAACUCCAUGGAAGUAAAUACUAGUUGUAUGUAUGAACCUUUGUUGCAGUUGUUAAAGAGCAGAGCUAUUUCCUUCUCAAAUCCAGGAGUCCCAAUAUGUCAAUAUCAAUUUAAAAGUGGAUAAAUACUGGCAAGCCAAUAGUAAUGAAAUCACUGGAAAGUAAUGGAAGAAUGGUUUCACCAGUGUCAGUGCAGAAGAACUCAGAAGAAGCUCCUGCAGUCUGGACUUUUGCUUCAGAGAGCCUGAAGAUUUGGUGAAUUUUUUUACCCUAGAUGAAAAUGUUCCUCUUAGUGCUAAGCCAAAUAUCUGUUGAUAUUCUGUGCAAGAUUUUAUUGUGUUUGUAAUAAUCAGAUUGACAUCUAUGUUUUUAGUGACUACUUGGAUGAAAUAAAGAAUGAAGUUCUGGUGGUUCA
This is a non-coding RNA of Taeniopygia guttata (zebra finch), 669 nucleotides long. The record is from RefSeq and is a predicted model, not a curated record. NCBI's taxonomy places the organism in Eukaryota, Metazoa, Chordata, Aves, Passeriformes, Estrildidae.